AGAGUUUGAUCCUGGCUCAGAACCGAACGCUGGCGGCGUGCCUAACACAUGCAAGUCGAGCGCGAAUGGAGCAAUCCUAGUAGAGCGGCGCACGGGUGCGUAACACGUGGAUAAUCUGCCUGGGUGUCUGGGAUAACCAGUCGAAAGAUUGGCUAAUACCGGAUAAGCCCCCGGGAGCUUCGGCUCCUGAGGGAAAAGGUGGCCUCUGUAUACAAGCUAUCACAUCCAGAUGAGUCCGCGGCCCAUCAGCUAGUUGGCGGGGUAAUGGCCCACCAAGGCAACGACGGGUAGCUGGUCUGAGAGGACGAUCAGCCACACUGGAACUGAGACACGGUCCAGACUCCUACGGGAGGCAGCAGUGGGGAAUAUUGCACAAUGGGCGGAAGCCUGAUGCAGCGACGCCGCGUGAGGGAUGACGGCCUUCGGGUUGUAAACCUCUUUCAGCAGGGACGAAGCCGUGAGGUGACGGUACCUGCAGAAGAAGCGCCGGCCAACUACGUGCCAGCAGCCGCGGUAAGACGUAGGGCGCGAGCGUUGUCCGGAAUUAUUGGGCGUAAAGAGCUCGUAGGCGGCUUGUCGCGUCGACUGUGAAAACCCGCGGCUCAACCGCGGGCCUGCAGCCGAUACGGGCAGGCUAGAGUUCGGUAGGGGAGACUGGAAUUCCUGGUGUAGCGGUGAAAUGCGCAGAUAUCAGGAGGAACACCGAUGGCGAAGGCAGGUCUCUGGGCCGAUACUGACGCUGAGGAGCGAAAGCGUGGGGAGCGAACAGGAUUAGAUACCCCGGUAGUCC
RNAcentral lists this ribosomal RNA (790 nucleotides) under uncultured Actinoplanes sp. Its description in RNAcentral is "bacterial SSU rRNA". It matches the Rfam family "Bacterial small subunit ribosomal RNA", at positions 8 to 796 of the family's 1533-position model. Lineage: Bacteria; Bacillati; Actinomycetota; Actinomycetes; Micromonosporales; Micromonosporaceae. The record is from RNAcentral.